GACGAACGCUGGCGGCGUGCUUAACACAUGCAAGUCGAACGGAGUGGCGAAAGGGUGAGUAUUACGUGAGUAACCUCCCCAUAACCGUGGGUUAAGCCUGGGAAACUGGGUCUAAUACUGCAUAUCAGGGGCUGUGCUCGCGGCUAAUCGGCCUGUUGGUGGGGGGAUGGCCUACCAAGGCGGUGGCUGGUAGCCGGCCGGGGAGGGUGGUCGCGCACAAUGGGACUGCGAUACGGCCCAGACUCCUACGGGAGGCAGACGUGGGGGAGAUUGCACAAUGGAGGAGACCCUGAUGCAGCAAGGCCGCGUGCGGGAUGACGGCCUUCGGGUUGUAAACCGCUUUCAGCCAUGACGCGGUAGUGACAGAAGAAGCACCGGCUAACUGCGUGCCAGCAGCCGCGGUAAUAC
RNAcentral lists this ribosomal RNA (408 nucleotides) under uncultured bacterium. Its description in RNAcentral is "partial 16S ribosomal RNA". It matches the Rfam family "Bacterial small subunit ribosomal RNA", at positions 28 to 526 of the family's 1533-position model. The record is from RNAcentral.